Molecule: ribosomal RNA, 322 nt
Filed under: uncultured eukaryote
Lineage: Eukaryota
Description: partial 18S ribosomal RNA
Rfam family: Eukaryotic small subunit ribosomal RNA
Source: RNAcentral
CCCUCAGAUGUUCUGGGCCGCACGCGUGCUACACUGAGUGGAUCAGCGGGUCAGGUUGCGCGAAAGCGUUUCCUAAUCUUUAAAUCCGCUCGUGAUGGGGAUUGACGGUUGCAAUUUUCUGUCAUGAACGAGGAAUACCUUGUAAGCGCGGGUCAUCAUCCCGCGCUGAAUACGUCCCUGCCCUUUGUACACACCGCCCGUCGCUCCUACCGAUUGAGUGGUCCGGUGAGGCUUUGGGAUCUGAGCGGAAAGAGCGUUUCGCUGUUUCUGCUCGGAAAACUCAGUCGAACCUUAUCAUUUAGAGGAAGGAGAAGUCGUAACA